This 253-nucleotide ribosomal RNA is filed under the name uncultured bacterium. RNAcentral's name for it is "partial 16S ribosomal RNA". It matches the Rfam family "Bacterial small subunit ribosomal RNA", at positions 524 to 776 of the family's 1533-position model. The record is from RNAcentral.
UACGUAGGGGGCAAGCGUUGUCCGGAAUCAUUGGGCGUAAAGAGCGUGUAGGCGGCUCGGUAAGUCUGCUGUGAAAGUCCAGGGCUCAACCCUGGGAUGCCGGUGGAUACUGUCGAGCUCGAGGCCGGUAGGGGGACGCGGAAUUCCCGGUGUAGUGGUGGAAUGCGUAGAUAUCGGGAGGAACACCUGCGGCGAAGGCGGGUUGCUGGGCUGACACUGACGCUGAUGCGCGAAAGCCAGGGGAGCGAACGGG